This 449-nucleotide ribosomal RNA is filed under the name uncultured bacterium. RNAcentral describes it as "partial 16S ribosomal RNA". It matches the Rfam family "Bacterial small subunit ribosomal RNA", at positions 29 to 523 of the family's 1533-position model. The record is from RNAcentral.
AACGAACGCUGGCGGCAUGCCUAACACAUGCAAGUCGAACGAGAUCUUCGGGUCUAGUGGCGCACGGGUGCGUAACGCGUGGGAAUCUGCCCUUUGGUUCGGAAUAACAGUUGGAAACGACUGCUAAUACCGGAUGAUGACGAAAGUCCAAAGAUUUAUCGCCAGAGGAUGAGCCCGCGUAGGAUUAGCUAGUUGGUGUGGUAAAGGCGCACCAAGGCGACGAUCCUUAGCUGGUCUGAGAGUAUGAUCAGCCACACUGGGACUGAGGCACGGCCCAGACUCCUACGGGAGGCAGCAGUGGGGAAUAUUGGAUAAUGGGCGAAAGCCUGAUCCAGCAAUGCCGCGUGAGUGAUGAAGGCCUUAGGGUUGUAAAGCUCUUUUACCCGGGAUGAUAAUGACAGUACCGGGAGAAUAAGCUCCGGCUAACUCCGUGCCAGCCGCCGCGGUAA